Acanthosepion pharaonis is the source of this 111-nucleotide non-coding RNA. The record is from the annotation of a GenBank genome assembly. NCBI's taxonomy places the organism in Eukaryota, Metazoa, Mollusca, Cephalopoda, Sepiida, Sepiidae.
UUACGGCCAUAUCACGAAACACUAGUUCUCAUAAAAUCACCGAAGUUAAGCAACGUUGAUCCUGGUCAGUACCUAAAUGAGUGACUGUUUGGGACUACCAGGUGCUGUAAG